AAGAAACACAAGAUAUUCCUUAAUCUUACAAUAUUCCCCAAGAGAACUCAGUAUCACAAAAUAAGGUUUCAUUUUACUUAUAAUAGCAAAACAAAUACUUAUGCAAAAUAUACCCUUAUUCAUGAAACAAAUUUCUACCUCUUUUGAUGAGUAAAAUAAGCAUCCCUAAAUAAUUUCAAGUUUUCAGUUUUCCUGACCAAAGUCCUAGUUUUCAUUGUUUUUGCUCUCUCUUCAAAUAUGUAUUCUGAACACCGUACUUAAAAAAAAAUUUUCAUGCAGUACAUCUCUCUCAACUAAUGAACCAUCAUUGAUAAAUUACUACGUCCAUUUUCAGACUUAAAAGUUGUUAUUUUUUUAAAACCUAUUCUCUUCUGUUUCACGAUCCUAUCCCGGAAGUCAUUUGUUUUGAAUACUGAAAUCCUUGUUGUUUUUGGCAAUAUAGUAUUCACUUUUGAAAAAAGGGAUGUUUUGAUCCUGUUUUUCACGUUCUACAAUGAACUUAGCAGAAACUUAGGGCGGGCAACCGGAAGUCACGAUCACGAACAUUUACGAUCACGAACAGUGCAGCCACCAGGAGAGGAGGUUAUCUACCUCCACGUGGCCAGAGCCACUUACCGCCCACAGCUUAAUCCCAAGGGGGAAGAAACGGUGUCCACAUAAAAAACUGUAGUGUAGUUUUAACUGUUAGCCUGCUUAUGUCUUCCUCCC
Pipistrellus kuhlii (Kuhl's pipistrelle) is the source of this 708-nucleotide long non-coding RNA. RefSeq lists it as uncharacterized. Lineage: Eukaryota; Metazoa; Chordata; Mammalia; Chiroptera; Vespertilionidae. The transcript has 2 exons. The record is from RefSeq and is a predicted model, not a curated record.